AUGGCUCGUGAUAUUCUUGCUAUCCCCAUUACAACGCUGGCUUCCGAGUCAGCCUUUAGCACAAGUGGACGCAUACUUGAUGACUUUAGGACAUCUCUAACUCCAUUUAUGGUACAAUUUUUAGUUUGUACGCAAGACUGGCUGAGAAGGUCAACAAAUCCUGGCGACAUCAAGGAGAACUUGGAAGAAUUAGAAGAGCUAGAAAAAGAGUUGAUUGAAGAAUUUGGUGAUAAGGUGAAGAGAAAGCGCAAGGUCAAUGCUGGUGUUGUUGCUUCUUCCAUGGCCAAGUCGACCAACAAAAGACAAACGCAUUCACGUUAA
Molecule: ribosomal RNA, 321 nt
Filed under: Triticum aestivum (bread wheat)
Lineage: Eukaryota; Viridiplantae; Streptophyta; Magnoliopsida; Poales; Poaceae
Description: partial small subunit ribosomal RNA
Source: RNAcentral